GCCGGGCAUGGUGACUCAUGCCUGUAAUCCCUGCACUUUGGGAGGCCGAGAUGGGGGAAUCAGCUGAGGUCAGGAGUUCAAAACCAGCCUGGCCAACAUGGUGAAACCCCAUCUCUA
Macaca mulatta (Rhesus monkey) is the source of this 117-nucleotide unclassified non-coding RNA. It matches the Rfam family "Metazoan signal recognition particle RNA". From Rfam's summary of the family: The signal recognition particle (SRP) is a universally conserved ribonucleoprotein. It is involved in the co-translational targeting of proteins to membranes. Lineage: Eukaryota; Metazoa; Chordata; Mammalia; Primates; Cercopithecidae. The record is from Ensembl.